AUUGAACGCUGGCGGCAUGCCUUACACAUGCAAGUCGAACGGUAACGGGUCCUUCGGGAUGCCGACGAGUGGCGAACGGGUGAGUAAUAUAUCGGAACGUGCCCAGUCGUGGGGGAUAACUGUUCGAAAGAGCAUCUAAUACCGCAUACGACCUUAGGGUGAAAGGGGGGGAUCGCAAGACCUCUCGCUAUUGGAGCGGCCGUUAUCAGAUUAGCUAGUUGGUGGGGUAAAGGCCUACCAAGGCAACGAUCUGUAGUUGGUCUAAGAGGACGACCAGCCACACUGGUACUGAGACACGGCCCAGACUCCUACGGGAGGCAGCAGUGGGGAAUUUUGGACAAUGGGCGCAAGCCUGAUCCAGCAAUGCCGCGUGCAGGAAGAAGGCCUUCGGGUUGUAAACUGCUUUUGUCAGGGAAGAAAUCUUCUGGGCUAAUACCCCGGGAGGAUGACGGUACCUGAAGAAUAAGCACCGGCUAACUACGUGCCAGCCGCCGCCGUAA
Molecule: ribosomal RNA, 500 nt
Filed under: uncultured bacterium
Lineage: Bacteria
Description: partial 16S ribosomal RNA
Rfam family: Bacterial small subunit ribosomal RNA
Source: RNAcentral